UCUACCAGGUGUAUUAGAUAAAACAAAAGAGCUUGUCACAUUGGCAACAAAAGGUGGCUUUUUCUUUUUGUUUCGUCCUCCCGGAAGGCUCUGCGCGUCACUCGUCAGAUUCUGUGCCCCGCGAACAAACUAUCCGCGUGGUUCUUUCUGACGGACGGAGCUGCCGAGCGCAGUGAUGUUGCACAGGGCCCUUUGAUAUCUCGCCAAAAAUAAGAUAAGAAUGUGCGCGCUUCCUAGAUUCUGCUGUACGAUAAGCCCCGCCCGCGACCGAAUGGUUGGAUGAUUGGGUGAUUACGCUGAUACCUCCUUCUCCUCCUUCAGUCGCUGCGCAGUCAGAAAAGGCGCUCGUGUGAAUACACGGUUACAGUUUUCUAUUUCUUGUGCGGCAAGCAGUCACAUUUCCACUUUGUCGUUCAUGUGCUACACUGAUAAAGUCUCUGAUACUGCUCAUGCUGUAAGGACCCCAUUCCCCGCAUGUGAAAUGCAGGGAAGAACGCUGUACGGCUGCUGAAAUUCAGCCUCUCCCAUGGAACACCAAUCACAUGCAAAGGCAAUUCCAAGAACUGUACAUUCAUCACAUAAAUUUCGACGCCCGUCACAUUCAAACUACGAUAGAAAUAUAUACAUAUACGUGUGAGCAGCUCUUAAUGGGCUAAAAAACGUGAUGCAUGUUUCCCUACAUGUGUCAUGAAGGCCGUAAAUAAUGGCAAGACGAUACUGUGGUCCGGGGCACGGCUCCGAGGGAACACCGUCCCAUAUGCAACCACAACUGUAUAUUUCAUGUAAACCAAUGCCUCGUUUCAUGUCUUGUGAGAGCAAACGAAGGCUGCAUCCGUGUCGGAUUCCCGGAAUUCUGAGCCUGACGCUGAAAACUGAGACAUACACGUGGCCGAGGGGAAAUCUGCCACGCAAGCCAGUGGCGUAAUCCCUGUCUGUCUGUCUGACCGCUGCAUGCAUAUACAGUUGCAAAGGGCUGUACUCUAGCCGGCAAGGCGCCGGAAACUAACACGCAUGGUUCAUGUUGUCAUUUUAUUGCGAAUAAAAUGAGCUACAAGAUA
Long non-coding RNA from Ornithodoros turicata, 1058 nucleotides. RefSeq lists it as uncharacterized. Lineage: Eukaryota; Metazoa; Arthropoda; Arachnida; Ixodida; Argasidae. The transcript is spliced from 2 exons. The record is from RefSeq and is a predicted model, not a curated record.